Podarcis lilfordi (Lilford's wall lizard) is the source of this 124-nucleotide non-coding RNA. The record is from the annotation of a GenBank genome assembly. NCBI's taxonomy places the organism in Eukaryota, Metazoa, Chordata, Lepidosauria, Squamata, Lacertidae.
UAUUGUUGUAAACAAAAAUCUGCCUUUUUCCCUUAUGGGGUAUCCAAGAAGCUACAUAAGGACUCUGUAUGGGCUCUUAGAUACCCCAUAAGGGAAAAGGGCAGAUUUUUGUUUACAACAAUAU